UUGUAUUGCGUUGCUAGAGGUGAAAUUCUUGGAUUUACGCAAGACAAACUAUUGCGAAAGCAUUUGCCAAGGAUGUUUUCAUUAAUCAAGAACGAAGGUUAGGGGAUCGAAAACGAUCAGAUACCGUUGUAGUCUUAACAGUAAACUAUGCCGACUAGGGAUCGGACGACCUCAAUAUUAUGCGUCG
Molecule: ribosomal RNA, 187 nt
Filed under: uncultured Glomeromycotina
Lineage: Eukaryota; Fungi; Glomeromycota
Description: partial 18S ribosomal RNA
Rfam family: Eukaryotic small subunit ribosomal RNA
Source: RNAcentral